AUGCUAUUUGUAAACGGUAAAAAAAUUUGCCAAAUACUCUUAAGGGCAUUUUUGGAAUAGACUAUAUUUUAUUGUCAAAAUUACAGAAAUGUAUAGACUGAACUAAAUAUAAUAGUGCUAUAAACAUUGCAAUAUAUCAUUACAUUACUACAUUAAAUCAAACGCGCUAAUACAGUAUCAGUAGUAAUCACAUUUAGAAAUCGAAGAUAUCUGAAUAUAUCAAAAUACUCUGUAAAACUCUGUAAUAUAUAUAUAUAUAUAUAUAUAUAUAUAUAUAUAUAUAUAUAUAUAUAUAGAGAGAGAGAGAGAGAGAGAGAGAGAGAGAGAGAGAGAGAGAGAGAGAGAGACUGGUAUACUAUUGAUAGCACGGAGGCCUCCAUGUUACCAAGUUGUUUUCGAUAAUGUGGCUUUCAAAUCGUCGAUCGGCUCCGUUAAACAUGAUCCAUACUAUUAAAAGUAUUUGGAAACUAAAUUUCAUAAUUUUUCGAUAUCAUUUGACUAGAGAUCAAAAGGGAUUAAAAUUGAUAAUUUUACUGGUAUAUGUGAUGCGUUUGUGAAUUUAACAGUAUAAAACAAUUCAAAUCUUAUUAAAUUUUUAUAAAAAAAAAUUUUCACUAUUUAGAAUAAGAUCAGUAUCUCUAAUCUUAAAUUCAAGUCUUUUACCAUUAUGUUUUAUUAGAUUUUUAUUUUCAGCCGUUUAUUUUUAGGCUACUCGUUUAAUUGGUAAAUAAUGUCGAAAAAUUAUGAAAUUUAGUUUCCAAAUACUUUCAAUAGUGUAGAUAAAGUCUAACAGAGCUGAUCGUCAAUUUGAAAACCGCAUAAUUGAAAACAACUUGGUAGCACGGAGGCCUCCGUGCUACUGAUAGUAUACUAGCCACGCUCUCUCUCUCUCUCUCUGUAUAUAUAUAUAUAUAUAUAUAUAUAUAUAUAUAUAAUUGAGCUCCUAUGCUUUUAAAAGUACCAAGUCAUUAGUAGUUGUAAGUUUUCGGUCCUUGAAUUAAAGGAUGUGCGGUUAGGAUGAUGUGGGUCCCUUUGGAUUAAAAGUUUUCGGUGCUUUUAAAAGCACCAUAGCCAGACUCUAUAUAUAUAUAUAUACUAGUUGAGCAUACGUGCAACUGCACGUAACAAUUAUUUUAAUUUAUUUUAAAUCAAUAAACAUUUGUAAAUCAUAUUUAUUCAAAAAUUUAGAAUAAAAUAUUUUCUAAAUUUAUAUGUUUCAUCUUAUUAGAAAAUAUCUACAAUAUCAAAUAGAUGGAUAGAUUUGAUAUCAAAAAUUAAAAAUUAAAUUUAAUUCACAAUUUAAACUCAAAUUUAAAUUUUAAUGUACAAUAAAUGGAUAAAAAUACUACUUUUUAACAGAUUGAACAUAAUAAUUCAUUUUUAUUUUUAAUAUUUUUAACCAAUUGAUCAUAACCGUUCGUAGAAUUGAAGUUAUAGAUAGGUAUGAAUGUUUUUUUUUAACAAAUUGAUCAUAAUCGUUUAUUUUUAUUUGAGAUAAUUUUUUACAAAUUGAUCAUAAAUUUGUAUAUCAUAUUAAUUCAAAAUUAUGAUUUACAAAUUUAUCAACUAAUCUAUCUUUUAAAUUAUUUCCAUUGUAAUAUAUAGAUAGUCCCAAAUUUUAAAUUUUAAAUUAAUUUUAUAUUUUGAAUUGAAAUAUAGAUUUACAGUAGCAAAAAUUUGGAUAAGUAUGAUUUUUUUUUCUAUUUUAGAGAUAAAAAAUUUUAAUAAAAUUUUAAUUAAAAUAUAGAUUCACAGUAAAUAUCUUUCGGUUGGCAAAAAUUUGGAUAAGUAUAUUUUUUUUCUAUUUUAGAGAUAAACAGAAAUUAAAAGUUUGUUUCAUUACGUUAUUUAUUUUACGUAAGGAAAAAGAAAAUAAUAUUUUUUUUCCGCCAAAAAAUGGGUCUGUCGACAGACCCAAAUUUAAAAUACGUGCUUUUAUAUAUAGUAUAGAUAUUGGGUUGAUUUUUAUCAAUUAAAUUACAAUUUUUAUCAAUCCAUUGAUGAUUUCAAAAUUUAAAAAUUUUAAUUACUUCGUAGAAGUUAAAAUAAAAAAAUAGUAAUAAUUAAUAGUUUACAGAGCAAUCUAAGUUAAAUAAAAUUUUAAAUAUAACUAACUAAAAUAAAUAAUUAUCAAAAGUUAGGAGCUAAAUAGGACUAAGGAUGCGUUUGAUUUGGGUUAUCCUGUCUGGAUUACAAACAAUCCUGCUAGGAUUACUGCUUUUGGUUCAUCCUAUGGGUGUGUUUGGUUCGAAGUCGGAGUCGGAAUCGGAAACGGAAUCAAAAUAAGCUGGAAUCGAAAUCAGAAUGACUCAUUAUCUAAUUCUGUUUAGUUCAUCACCUGAAUCGGAAUCGGAAUAAAUCAUUCCUAUUGUCGCUAUUUGGUUGAGUUGGAUAUAAAAAACAUAAUCAAAUUAAUAUACUAACAUUAUCUUUAUAAUAUAUUAAUUUAAAUUCAAAUUAAAAAUUAAAUAUUAUAAAUUUACAUCAAAAUUUUAAAAUAAUGUCAAAAUUUUAAAUCUAUUUUUUUUAAAAAAAAUUAAACUUU
This 2545-nucleotide long non-coding RNA is filed under the name Ananas comosus (pineapple). RNAcentral describes it as "long non-coding RNA (ACOM_LNC013086)". The record is from RNAcentral. Lineage: Eukaryota; Viridiplantae; Streptophyta; Magnoliopsida; Poales; Bromeliaceae.